This is a small nucleolar RNA of Juglans microcarpa x Juglans regia, 108 nucleotides long. Lineage: Eukaryota; Viridiplantae; Streptophyta; Magnoliopsida; Fagales; Juglandaceae. The record is from RefSeq and is a predicted model, not a curated record.
AGGUCGUGAUGUGGAGACUUGUACAAUAAAUCCUUGUAGCUCUCUCAUGCCUCAUAUAAUUGAUUCACUCUCAAUUUGGGUGAAGGUAGUAAUAUCAUUCAUUAACUU